RNAcentral lists this long non-coding RNA (274 nucleotides) under Elaeis guineensis (African oil palm). RNAcentral describes it as "long non-coding RNA (EGUI_LNC077321)". The record is from RNAcentral. Lineage: Eukaryota; Viridiplantae; Streptophyta; Magnoliopsida; Arecales; Arecaceae.
UAUGCGAAGUGGAAUACAGUACUGCAUCGGAUGCUAUAAAAUAUUAUGUGCCGCUAUCACCUGGUGUGAGAGAUCGUGAACCGUCGAGCUUCAGAAGAUCGACGAAAAGAAGAACCUAGCCAACCCCUUCACUAAAGCUCUCGAGAUCAAAGAGUUCGAUGAUUUCAAAUGAAAGAUGGGUAUAAGAUACUAUCGUGAUUGGCUUUAAUCCAAGUGGUAGUUAUUGAAAAUUGUGUCCUAAAACUAAUCGUGUGAUGAUUGAGUUCAUCCUUGU